UGACAUGCAGUAGCAUGUCCUCACACGCAGUCACUCUUUGUGCCAUUAUGGAGGCAUUUUAAUGAUGAGCUAGAAAACAUAACGUCCGUCCAGAGUUCAACAUUUGGAGUUAAUGCCAACCGUCUCAGGGAAGCCUGGGCCAGUGGACUGGGUUCUUCAAUCUCAGAUGAGCUUUAGGAGGACGAGGGCCUCUCCAAUGUUCAGGGAUGCUCCAUCAAUUCCAGGUAAUGGCUGAUUCAGUCUAAGGUUCUACGUAGACUUCAUUGCCCUAAGACAAAACUCGGCACUGUCUCCCUCUUAGGUGAUAAACGUGGUAGUGCAGAAGUAUCACUCUCACCUGUUCUGGUCCUGUUCAACCCUAGACAAUUUCUGCAGGGCCAUUUUUGAUUGUUUUUUUUUAACAUUUUGGUAGGGACAUCCAACUAAACUGCGCCCUGGCCAUCUUUGGCUGCUCUGAUAGGUUACUUGCAUCUCACCAAAGGAAACACGGGGAUAGGGACGAUUGCUACAUAGAGAUUAAUCUUACAAGAAUGGAAAUCCCCAUCACCUCCUUGUUCCAAAAAGAUCCAUUGCUGCAAAGGGAAGUCUCUCAGCAGUUCUAUGGGCAUCUGGAAACCUCUCCUGGACUUGCUCGAUGGGCCAUAAUCUGGAGAAUUGCUUCCUGCCACUGUAUGCUUGAUGUCUGCUUAUCAAGCUGAUGAUCACCUCCAAGAAAAAUGAAGCCAACAAUGGAGUGCCCAAAGCUGCACUUCCUCCUGUGGCCACUCAAAUGGUAAAUGGA
Molecule: long non-coding RNA, 781 nt
Organism: Oreochromis niloticus (Nile tilapia)
Lineage: Eukaryota; Metazoa; Chordata; Actinopteri; Cichliformes; Cichlidae
Exons: 3
Source: RefSeq, a predicted model, not a curated record